Molecule: long non-coding RNA, 502 nt
Filed under: Fragaria vesca (wild strawberry)
Lineage: Eukaryota; Viridiplantae; Streptophyta; Magnoliopsida; Rosales; Rosaceae
Description: long non-coding RNA (FVES_LNC002067)
Source: RNAcentral
UGACCUUUCUAGCACAACCUUCACAAUGCAUAUAGACUCUGAGCACAAUUUCUUGAGGUGGUGGCGGAGGUGGCGGAGCAUCACCCUCUUUGGCCUCUUUGCCAUCCUUACCCUCUUCAGCUUUCUUCUCUUCCUUCUUCUCCUCAGCUGGUUUCUCUUCCUUCUUAUUCUCCUCAGCCUUCUUUUCCUCUUCAGGCUUUUUCACCUCCUCAGGCUUCUUCUCCUCCAUUUUCUUCUCCUCGGGCUUCUUCUCCUUCUGAACAAACACAAACCCAACUCUCCCAAUAAACAAAGAUGUAAACUAAACAAGCUUAUAAGUUCUGAAAGUGGGAAAACAAAUAUUAGAAAAAAGAUUGUAGGACCUCCCCCAUUGGUUUUAGGUCAGCUCGAGUAAAGAUUCAAUUGUUAAGGCGCUCUCUCUUUCUUGGGUGGUGGAGAUCAGCCUUUUCUUUCCUUCUUUCUUUCUCUUUAACUGUGCUAAAAUGUGUGCUGGUAGAGACUG